Long non-coding RNA from Homo sapiens (human), 2772 nucleotides. RefSeq lists it as uncharacterized. The transcript is spliced from 2 exons. NCBI's taxonomy places the organism in Eukaryota, Metazoa, Chordata, Mammalia, Primates, Hominidae. The record is from RefSeq and is a predicted model, not a curated record.
GUGUGAAGAAUAGUAAGAAGGAGUUGCCUGGGUGUGAGUUUGCAGACAGCAGCAGAAAGAGAAGAAGAAGCCAAAUAUAUUUCAUGCUGAGAAGGACAAAAGCACCCAGAGCGGUCUAGAGAGCCCACUGGAGAAAAGGUAAGAUGAAAGAAAAACAUCUUCUGUCUCUUUCCUCCUUGCUCUGUCUUUCUGUCAUGGCCUAUCAUUCUCUGCCUUCCUGUCUCUCCAUCACUGUCUUGGGUUCUCUCCUUCUCUGCCUCCUCUCUCCUAGAAAGGCAACCCCCUGGUGGCGUCUAUUGUCAACAACUGUGACACUACAGCCAGGGGCCCACCACCUGCAAAUUGCCUUCCAGGCCCCCUAUGGCCACUGAUAUUAGAAGAGGCUCCAAUUGUCCUCAUAUGGAUAAUAACCAGAUGGGUUGGGUCAGGCUGUUCUGCCUGCUGAGUUAACCACACCACACCCCUGAAGGACUUGGAGGACUGUGUGGCAGGAUGCAAUGCUAUGCAGCAGCCUGGAGCCACCUACGGAGUGUGCCAGCUUCAGGGUCCCCAGUCACCUGCAGGAAGCUGCAUAUCCUGUUUGCCUCCAGGUAGCACAUCCACUGGGGACCAAAGAAGGUUAGAAUCGAUCUAGAUUCUCGACUGGAAAAGCACAUCAGGAAAUGUAGCUAACACGCAGCCUUUUCUAGUGUGGCUAAAGGAGGCUUUGUUUUUAUUCAUUCAAAACCAAUGGCUUGGGCCUCCCCAGCACAGUGCUAGACAGGAGAAUCCAGAGAUAAGUAAAACACAGAAUCUGCCCUCAAGGAGGCCAGAUCUUGUAGGAUGCUAGGACAGUGGACCCACGACAAUUAGAACUGCAAGGAAAUUGGACUGAUAGUCUUUGCUCACAUUGCUUAUAGUAGUUUGCAAGGUUGAGCCAUAAUUUCAAGUUGUUACAUUUAUUUGUUAGACAUUAGGAUGAGUACUAGUUCUGGCCAAGAAGUAUUUCCAUUUCCCCAUUGCCUCUCUCUUACAACCAGAAAACCAUUAAGGGGCACAGAAUAAGGCAGACUGCCUAAUGCUCUCGACCUGAGGAGCAACAAGGUGGUGAGUUCCCUGGGUGUCUUCUUUGCCUCUCCUAUACCCUGUACAGGGCACUGCAGAACCCUCCAAGUCAGAGCCAUUCACAGACACAGACAAAAAAGCUUCAAGAAAAUCCUGUUUCCCUCAGCCAAAGGAUCAGAAAAAGGGUCAUCUAAUCACAGAAAACCAUUAUGGCAGUACCUGCCCUGCUCAAGCCACACUCCAAUAAAAAAACUACAGUCCGUCGACAGGACCAAGAGGAGCUGAGCUUCUAUUCCACUCCCAUCCCUGACCCCAUAUAAACAGACAAAGGCACACUAAUUCCCACACCAGUGUAGAAUCAAUGGGAUCCACCUACCUAUAAGACUGAACAUGACAAUUCAAGUCAGGGCUCCAUGCCCUCUUUACCCUGGGCAUUAGUGAGUUGAGCUGUGCCUUCACCCUCAUCUAGCACCAACAGAACAGGCCAAGGUGGUGCAAGGCAGGGCUAGUCUCACUUUACUUCCUCCUGGCUUCCUGGUACUGACAGGGCCCACUGAAGACCCGAGCCUCCACCCCACUGGCAACAGUGAAAGGGAAGAAGAUGGUGGGAAGAGUGAAAGAGAACAAGCAGGGAUAGUUAGCACUCUGCUUCUUCCUCCCCUCUCCUGCUGUCAUCUGCAUCUACCUGAAACUUGGGCUUUCACUGCUAGCCUGCAGCAACAAAGCAGAGGCAGUGGACAAGGAGGAAGCCACGCGGGCAGGCGCAAGAGUGACAACUUGAGACCCUUCCAGAGACUAUCAAGAAAGAGGUGAUUUGCAUUUCUCUGAUGGCCAGUGAUGAUGAGCAUUUUUUUCAUGCAUCUGUUGGCUGCACAAAUGUCUUCUUUUGAGAUAUCAUCUCACACCAGAUAGAAUGGCGAUCAUUAGAAAGUCAAGAAACAACAGGUGCUGGAGAGGUUGUGGAGAAAUAGGAACACUUUUACACUGUUGGUGGGAGUGUAAACUAGUUCAACCAUUGUGGAAGACAGUGUGGCGAUUCCUCAGGGAUCUAGAACUAGAAAUACCAUUGGACCCAGCCAUCCCAUUACUGGGUAUAUACCCAGAGGAUUAUAAAACAUGCUGCUAUGAAGACACAUGCACAUGUAUGUUUAUUGCAGCACUACUCACAAUAGCAAAAACUUGGAACCAACCUAAAUGUCCAACAAUGAUAGACUGGAUUAAGAAAAUGUGGCACAUAUACACCAUGGAAUACUAUGCAGCCAUAAAAAAUGAUGAGUGCAUGUCCUUUGUAGGGACAUGGAUGAAGCUGGAAACCAUCAUUCUCAGCAAACUAUCACAAGGACAAAAAAACAAACACCACAUGUUCUCACUCACAGGUGGGAAUUGAACAAUGAGAACACUUGGACACAGGAAGGGGAACAUCACACACCAGGGCCUGUUGUGGGGUGGGGGGAGGGGGGAGGGAUAGCAUUAGGAGAUAUACCUAAUGUAAAUGACGAGUUAAUGGGUGCAGCACACCAACAUGGCACAUGUAUACAUAUGUAACAAACCUGCACGUUGUGCACAUGUACCCUAGAACUUAAAGUAUAGUAACAAAUAUAUAUAUUUAAAAAAAUUAAAAGUAAAUAAAAAAAAGAAAGAGAUGAAUCCUGGGACCUGCCCCUUAAAGGUGUGUGCUGAUCUAACCAAUGAAUUUAGGAAUAAACUGUGAAAGCAAUUUUACCCUAA